UCGAGGACGAUAGUCGCACGACCUGAGCCAUCUGCUGGGCCUCUAUCACCUCCGAGAGGGAGUUAUGCAUGCCCAAUUGUAGGAGCUUCUCGGUGCUAGUGUGG
This 104-nucleotide microRNA precursor is filed under the name Rhipicephalus microplus (southern cattle tick). RNAcentral describes it as "microRNA rmi-mir-5330 precursor". The record is from miRBase by way of RNAcentral. Lineage: Eukaryota; Metazoa; Arthropoda; Arachnida; Ixodida; Ixodidae.